CCUACGGGUGGCUGCAGUGAGGAAUAUUGGACAAUGGAUGGAAAUCUGAUCCAGCCAUGCCGCGUGCAGGAAGACGGCCCUAUGGGUUGUAAACUGCUUUUGUGUGGGAGCAAUAAGGUCUAUGCGUAGACUGAUGAGAGUACCAUACGAAUAAGCAUCGGCUAACUCCGUGCCAGCAGCCGCGGUAAUACGGGGGAUGCAAGCGUUAUCCGGAUUUAUUGGGUUGAAGGGGGUCUGAUGCGGCUUGGUAGGAAUAUUGCAGCUUAACUGAAAGGGUGCCGUUGAUACUGUCAGGCUUGAAUAUGGUUGCUGUGGGUGGAAUGUGUGGUGUAGCGGUGAAAUGCUUAGAUAUCACACAGAAUAUCGAUUGCGAAGGCAGCUCACAAAGCCAUUAUUGACGCUGAUGCACGAAAGUGUGGGGAUCAAACAGGAUUAGAUACCCCAGUAGUC
This 450-nucleotide ribosomal RNA is filed under the name uncultured bacterium. RNAcentral describes it as "partial 16S ribosomal RNA". It matches the Rfam family "Bacterial small subunit ribosomal RNA", at positions 338 to 795 of the family's 1533-position model. The record is from RNAcentral.